CCUACGGGCGGCAGCAGUGAGGAAUAUUGGUCAAUGGGCGCGAGCCUGAACCAGCCAAGUAGCGUGAAGGAUGACUGCUCUAGGGGUUGUAACCUUUUUUUAGAAAGGAAUAAAGUGAGGCACGUGUGCCUUUUUGUAUUUACUUUAUGAAUAAGGAUCGGCUAACUCCGUGCCAGCAGCCGCGGUAAUACGGAGGAUCCGAGUGUUAUCCGGAUUUAUUUGGUUUAAAGGGCGCGUAGCUGGGUUGUUAAGUCAGUUGUGAAAGUUUGCGGCUCAACCGUAAAAUUGCAAUUGAUACUGGCCGUCUUGAGUACAGUUGAGGUAGGCGGAAUUCGUGGUGUAGCGGUGAAAUGCUUAGAUAUCACGAAGAACUCCGAUUGCGAAGGCAGCUUACUAAACUGCCACUGACAUUGAGGCUCGAAAGUGUGGGUAGCAAACAGGAUUAGAUACCCGAGUAGUC
Molecule: ribosomal RNA, 460 nt
Filed under: uncultured bacterium
Lineage: Bacteria
Description: partial 16S ribosomal RNA
Rfam family: Bacterial small subunit ribosomal RNA
Source: RNAcentral